AUAUUGGUCAAUGGAGGAAACUCUGACGCAGCGACGCCGCGUGAGCGAUGAAGGUNUUNNGAUCGNANAGCUCUGUCCUCAGGNNNNNAGAAAGUGACGGUACCUGAGGAGGAAGCCCCGGCUAACUACGUGCCAGCAGCCGCGGUAAUACGUAGGGGGCAAGCGUUGUCCGGAAUUAUUGGGCGUAAAGGGUGCGUAGGCGGCUUUUUAAGUCAGAUGUGAAAGACCACAGCUUAACUGUGGGGUUGCAUUUGAAACUGGAGAGCUUGAGUAUCGGAGAGGGUAGUGGAAUUCCUGGAGUAGCGGUGAAAUGCGUAGAUAUCAGGAGGAACACCAGUGGCGAAGGCGACUACCUGGACGAAAACUGACGCUGAGGCACGAAAGCGUGGGGAGCAAACAG
Molecule: ribosomal RNA, 400 nt
Filed under: uncultured bacterium
Lineage: Bacteria
Description: partial 16S ribosomal RNA
Rfam family: Bacterial small subunit ribosomal RNA
Source: RNAcentral